AUGCGGCACCUCCUCCUCUCCCGUCUCCUCCGCCGCGCCUCCUCCCCCUCCCAGCCUCACCACAACCUCCAACUUAUCCGUGCUUUCUCCUCCUCCUCCCCUCUCCCGGCCUCCGACACCGACCUCCGCAAGUACGCCGGCUACGCGCUCCUCGUCCUCGGCUGCGGCGCCGCCACCUACUACUCCUUCCCCUUCCCGCCCGACGCGCUCCACAAGAAGGCCGUCCCCUUCAAGUACGCGCCCCUCCCCGACGACCUCCACACCGUCUCCAACUGGAGCGGCACUCACGAGGUCCACACCCGCGUCCUCCUCCAGCCCGACUCCAUCCCGGCGCUCGAGGAUGCCCUCGCCACCGCCCACAGGGAGCGACGCAGGCUCAGGCCCCUCGGCUCCGGGCUGUCCCCCAAUGGCCUCGGGCUCUCCCGGGCCGGCAUGGUCAACCUUGCGCUCAUGGACAAGGUGCUAGACGUCGAUGUCAAGAAGAAGACCGUCACGGUGCAGGCUGGGAUACGUGUCGCCGAGCUCGUCGAUGCGCUCAGAGAGCAUGGGCUCACAUUGCAGAACUUUGCGUCCAUUCGAGAGCAGCAGGUCGGCGGCAUCAUUCAGGUUGGUGCCCAUGGUACUGGUGCGAGAUUGCCUCCAAUUGAUGAGCAGGUUAUUAGCAUGAAACUGGUUACUCCUGCCAAAGGGACGAUAGAGUUAUCAACGGAGAAAGAUCCUGAUUUGUUUUAUCUUGCCCGUUGUGGACUUGGUGGCCUAGGAGUCGUUGCAGAAGUUACUCUUCAGUGUGUAGAAAGACACCAACUUGUUGAGCAUACUUUCGUUUCUAAUGCAGAUGAAAUCAAGAAAAACCACCAGAAAUGGCUUUCUGAAAACAAACAUAUCAAGUACUUGUGGAUUCCAUAUACUGAUACAGUUGUCGUUGUCCAAUGUAAUCCUCCUUCAAGAUGGAAAACUCCAAAGUUGGCAUCAAAAUAUGGAAAGGAUGAAGCCCUACAGUAUGUUCGUGACCUUUACCGAGAGUCAUUGAAGAAAUAUAGAACUGAAGCCGACAGUAAAGACCCAGCGAUAGAUCAACUUUCAUUUACUGAAUUGAGGGAUCAAUUGAUCGCCCUUGAUCCUCUGGAUAAAGAUCAUGUGAUCAGAAUUAAUAAAGCAGAAGCUGAGUAUUGGAAGAAGUCUGAGGGAUAUCGCAUGGGCUGGAGUGAUGAAAUACUAGGUUUUGAUUGUGGUGGGCAGCAGUGGGUUUCUGAAACCUGCUUCCCUACAGGAACUCUAGCGAAGCCAAACAUGAAGGAUUUAUAUUAUAUGGAGGAGUUGCUACAGUUGAUUGAGAAGGAGGAUAUACCUGCACCUGCACCUAUUGAGCAGCGUUGGACUGCCCGCAGCAGGAGCCCUAUGAGUCCGGCAUCAAGCUCUGAAGAAGAUGACAUAUUUUCAUGGGUUGGUAUAAUAAUGUAUUUACCAACAUCGGAUCCUCGCCAAAGGAAGGAUAUUACCGAGGAGUUCUUCAACUACAGAAGUCUGACGCAAACUAGUCUCUGGGAUGAUUAUUCUGCAUAUGAACACUGGGCUAAAAUUGAGGUUCCGAAGGACAAGGAUGAACUUGCUCAACUGCAGGCUAGGUUGCGGAAACGCUUCCCCGUUGACGCGUAUAACAAGGCGCGCAUGGAGCUGGACCCUAACAAGGUUCUCUCCAGUGCCAAGUUAGAGAAGUUUUUCCCAGGAAUGCAGACUGUCCAACAUGCAAAGUAA
RNAcentral lists this ribosomal RNA (1755 nucleotides) under Triticum aestivum (bread wheat). RNAcentral's name for it is "partial small subunit ribosomal RNA". Lineage: Eukaryota; Viridiplantae; Streptophyta; Magnoliopsida; Poales; Poaceae. The record is from RNAcentral.